GAAAGGGCUGCAGGAGCAGUCCCUCCCCUGGGAGAGCGGCCAGGGUGGCCUCUAGGUUCUCCUGCCGCUCCUGCCCUGACCAGUGAUGAGACGGGCAGCCUGGGGACCUCUUGUGUUGGAGUUGCGGGGGCCUCAGGACUGCCUGUGCGGUGUCGCCUGGCUGCUCCCCAGGGCCAGGGGCUGUAAGAAGUGGAAUCUGCCCUUUGGCUCCUGACCAGGGUCCGAGCCCUGGGGCUGUGCCUUGGGCCAACCACACCUCCUGUUCCAGAGCAGGUACACAGUCACUUCAGGAGGUACGAGGUGGAAUACCUACAGUUCGCCUUCCGGUGGAUGAACAACCUGCUCAUGCGGGAGCUCCCUCUGCGCUGCACCAUCCGCCUGUGGGACACCUACCAGUCCGAGCCUGAGGGCUUCCUCCCACUUCCACCUCUACGUGUGCGCCCCCUUCCUGGUCAAGUGGAGGAAGGAGAUCCUGGAUGAGGAAGACUUCCAGUCCCGCUUGGUUCUCACCAGAGCAGGCAGCAGAGUACAGCUGUUGUGAACAAGGUCCUGAGCCAGACUGGCUGGCUCAACCCCAGCCUCGCACUUCUCCAAGUCCCUUACCCUCCGCGCCUCAGUUUCCUCAUCUGUCGAAUGGCGGUGGUAACAUGCCUCUCCCAGAGUUGAUGGGAGGAUUAAAUGAACUAAUACAAAGUACAGGCAGUUAGCGCCCUGUGUGGCGUGCAGCGAUCCCCGCCGUGGUGGCUCCCUGGUGUCCUGGACAUCUCCACUCCUCCUCCCCUUCUGUCAAACAUCCCCCCUGGUCCUCCCACGCCCGCCCUUAGCAGAGCCCCCGUGCUCAGCACCACUCACC
Molecule: long non-coding RNA, 853 nt
Filed under: Heterocephalus glaber (naked mole-rat)
Lineage: Eukaryota; Metazoa; Chordata; Mammalia; Rodentia; Bathyergidae
Description: lncRNA (ENSHGLG00100044365.1)
Source: RNAcentral